RNAcentral lists this ribosomal RNA (531 nucleotides) under Aulacaspis nitida. RNAcentral's name for it is "eukaryotic LSU rRNA". Lineage: Eukaryota; Metazoa; Arthropoda; Insecta; Hemiptera; Diaspididae. The record is from RNAcentral.
AUCUGGGCGGCGGAAUUCAGGACGGCUGGGCGGGUCUCGCGCUCGUUCGGCCGUUUGAUAUUUCCGUCGCCGUGUCAGACGUCGCGACCUGUUCGUCGUCGGUCCUUGCUCGGAGGAAGCGCGAUCGAGUUCGUUGCGGGCGCGUUUCGGCGCGUUCCGCGGCGAAGACGCGACUCUCUGGCUGACGACGGACAGUAAGCAACGGUGUCCGGCGUCGUGUCUCGCACUCGACGUCGGUGCCGGUCGGCGACGAUUUCUUCGGGCCUCUUUCCGACCCGUCUUGAAACACGGACCAAGGAGUCUAACAUGCGCGCGAGUCGCGGGGUUUCGAGCGUGCCACGGUGCGCUCGUUACUUCCGAAACCCGUACGUUGAAGGCGUAAUGAAAGUGAACAGGGAAGAUGGCGUUCCGAGUCCACGUACCGUGAUCGAGUAUCGCGGCCGGACGUCCGCACUCCCGGGGCGUCUCAAUGGCUCGCCACGGAUGCGGACGGUCGUCUUUCGGGGCGGCCGUCGGUCUGUGGCGGUCCGA